This 523-nucleotide ribosomal RNA is filed under the name Pyrenophora tritici-repentis. RNAcentral describes it as "eukaryotic LSU rRNA". The stretch from base 185 to 338 matches the Rfam family "5.8S ribosomal RNA". The record is from RNAcentral. Lineage: Eukaryota; Fungi; Ascomycota; Dothideomycetes; Pleosporales; Pleosporaceae.
CAUUACACAAAUAUGAAGCCGGACUGGGAUAGGGCCUCGCUGCCUUGCCCGUCUGGCGCCAUAUUCACCCAUGUCUUUUUGCGUACUACUUGUUUCCUUGGCGGGUCCGCCCGCCAAUUGGACCUUAUUCAAACCUUUUUUUUCAGUUGCAAUCAGCGUCAGCAAAACAAAUGUAAUCAAUUACAACUUUCAACAACGGAUCUCUUGGUUCUGGCAUCGAUGAAGAACGCAGCGAAAUGCGAUAAGUAGUGUGAAUUGCAGAAUUCAGUGAAUCAUCGAAUCUUUGAACGCACAUUGCGCCCUUUGGUAUUCCAAAGGGCAUGCCUGUUCGAGCGUCAUUUGUACCCUCAAGCUUUGCUUGGUGUUGGGCGUNUUGUCUCUCUCCCGAGACUCGCCUUAAAAUCAUUGGCAGCCGGCCUACUGGUUUCGGAGCGCAGCACAUUAUUUGCGCUCUUGUCCAGCCGCGGUCGCGCGUCCAUGAAGCUUCUUUCAACCUUUUGACCUCGGGUCAGGUAGGGAUACC